This 378-nucleotide ribosomal RNA is filed under the name Strombidiidae sp. RNAcentral's name for it is "partial small subunit ribosomal RNA". It matches the Rfam family "Eukaryotic small subunit ribosomal RNA", at positions 582 to 975 of the family's 1831-position model. Lineage: Eukaryota; Ciliophora; Spirotrichea; Strombidiidae. The record is from RNAcentral.
AUUCCAGCUCCAAUAGCGUAUAUUAAAGUUGUUGCAGUUAAAAAGCUCGUAGUUGGAUUUCUGACAGGGGGCCGAACACCACUGUAGUGAGUGUUUUGGUACCUGUCAUCCUUCUGUUAACCCUAGCGUCAUUCAUUUGUCGUUGGGCGGACCAGAUACUUUACCUUGAGAAAAUUAGAGUGUUUCAGGCAGGCCUAGCCGGAAUACAUUAGCAUGGAAUAAUGGAAUAGGACUAUAGUCUCGUCGUUGGUUACGUGGACUGCAGUAAUGAUUAAUAGGGAUAGUUGGGGGCGAUUACAUUCCGUUGUCAGAGGUGAAAUUCUUGGAUUUACGGAAGAUAAACUACUGCGAAAGCAUUCACCAAGGAUGUCUUCAUCA